RNAcentral lists this transfer RNA (72 nucleotides) under Methanonatronarchaeum sp. AMET-Sl. RNAcentral's name for it is "tRNA-Cys". It matches the Rfam family "tRNA". Rfam says of the family: Transfer RNA (tRNA) molecules are approximately 80 nucleotides in length. Their secondary structure includes four short double-helical elements and three loops (D, anti-codon, and T loops). Further hydrogen bonds mediate the characteristic L-shaped molecular structure. tRNAs have two regions of fundamental functional importance: the anti-codon, which is responsible for specific mRNA codon recognition, and the 3' end, to which the tRNAs corresponding amino acid is attached (by aminoacyl-tRNA synthetases). tRNAs cope with the degeneracy of the genetic code in two manners: having more than one tRNA (with a specific anti-codon) for a particular amino acid; and 'wobble' base-pairing, i.e. permitting non-standard base-pairing at the 3rd anti-codon position. Lineage: Archaea; Methanobacteriati; Methanobacteriota; Methanonatronarchaeia; Methanonatronarchaeales; Methanonatronarchaeaceae. The record is from RNAcentral.
GCCAAGGUGGCAGAGUGGUAAUGCAGCGGCCUGCAGAGCCGCCAUUCCCCGGUUCAAAUCCGGGCCUUGGCU